CCUCAGCAGACAUAAUUAUAACCUCUUGAAAGACCCUGAGCCUCUAAGCUGCUUCUAGUUUCCCGACCGUCAGAACCUCUUUGAAGUAAUAAAGCAGGGUCACCCAUGGUGGACAGGUUUCAGCGGAGCUUCCAGACUAAGACAGACUAGGAAGAAGGAACUGCCCACCCACUUCUGAAAGAAUUGGCCAUGAAAACCCUGUGAAGAGCAGUGGAGCACCGUCUGAUGGAACACCGGAAGGUAUGUCUCUUAAAAGAGCUUAUGAAAGAUUCUUCUCAGGAGGGGUCCAGCCAGAGUCGUCACCAGACUGUCAAAGGGGUCCGUGGCACAAAAGAGUUUAAGAAUCUCUGGUGCAGACAAAGAAGAGAGAAAGAGAAAAGGCCUGAACCCUGGAACUCUCCAACAUUUAGUGAUUAAACAUUCAAGAAGGAACCAGCAAAAGACGCUCAAAUGACUGAGUUUACAUGGAGCCAACGAGAUUAUACUUUCUGCCAUCAGACAGAACAAGUAUUCAAAAAGAGACUAACUUUAACUACAGAAACAAAAAAAUUUUAAAUUUGUAUUUUUGUAUACCAGAGUUGUUGCCCAUGAGACAUUGGAGCAUACCAUACUGGGAGGCUUUGAAGCCAAAGGAAGAAAUAUUUCAAGGAAAGAGAAAUCAACCAUAUUAAAUGCUGAUGAAAAUGGACACUCGGAUUUGGCUAGAUGAGAGUUAAGUUGCUCUUAGCUGAGUAAGAGCAGUUUCGGUAGAUUUUUGGAGACAAAAGCUUGAUUUGAAUGGGUAAAGAAGAAAAUGGGAGAUGAGCAAAUAAAGAAAGCAAGUAAAGGUAUCUUUUUGGGGAGUUUUGCCAUAAGAGGAAGCAGAGAAAUUUGGAGGGGUUGCGAGGGGACCUGGAGUCAAGAGAAGCUUAAAUAAAAUUUUUUUAAAUAUUUGUGAUAUUCCAUUAUGCUGAUGAGAAUUAUGAUGAAAUUAAUGAUGCGGGAGAGAGAAUGGAUCACUGAAGAAGAGACAGAGGAUGGUAUCCAAUGGAAAGCUUGGUUUUCAAUUGGAGCAAGACCAGUUCAUCCAUUAUGACAGGAAAUUGGUUAGUGCCAUGAGUUAGUUUUUCAUAUUUAGUGGUUUUCUGAUUGUGUCUAUCUUUUGAUGAUGCCAUCAGCUGAGAAUGGGGAGUGUGGAAGGGUUUUGGAAAUUUGAGGAGAGAAGAUGUAGUUCUGGAGAUUAGGAGAAAUGUAGUGGAACUGCUGAGCAGUGCCAAAGGCCCACUCAAGAUCUGUGAAUAUGAAUUUCAAGAGAGAUAAAUGUGCUUAAUUGUGAGGUUUUCUUCAAAGGCAGCCAUGGAAUAUACAGAAGUGAGUUUGGGAUUUGAAUCUUUCCAAGUGGCUACAGGGAG
RNAcentral lists this long non-coding RNA (1391 nucleotides) under Equus caballus (horse). Its description in RNAcentral is "lncRNA (ENSECAG00000048159.1)". The record is from RNAcentral. Lineage: Eukaryota; Metazoa; Chordata; Mammalia; Perissodactyla; Equidae.